GGCCCGAACUUCUUCGGGAGGCAGCAGUGGGGAAUAUUGGACAAUGGGCGCAAGCCUGAUCCAGCCAUGCCGCGUGUGUGAAGAAGGCCUUCGGGUUGUAAAGCACUUUCAGUAGGGAGGAAAACCUGAUGGUUAAUACCCAUUGGGCUUGACGUUACCUACAGAAGAAGCACCGGCUAACUCCGUGCCAGCAGCCGCGGUAAUACGGAGGGUGCGAGCGUUAAUCGGAAUUACUGGGCGUAAAGCGCGCGUAGGCGGUUUGGUAAGCGAGAUGUGAAAUCCCCGGGCUUAACCUGGGAACUGCAUUUCGAACUGCCAGGCUAGAGUAUGGUAGAGGGUAGUGGAAUUUCCUGUGUAGCGGUGAAAUGCGUAGAUAUAGGAAGGAACACCAGUGGCGAAGGCGGCUACCUGGACCAAUACUGACGCUGAGGUGCGAAAGCGUGGGGAGCAAACAGGAUUAGAUACCCUGGUAGUCCACGCCGUAAACGAUGUCAACUAGCCGUUGGGACUCUUGAAGUCUUAGUGGCGCAGCUAACGCACUAAGUUGACCGCCUGGGGAGUACGGCCGCAAGGUUAAAACUCAAAUGAAUUGACGGGGGCCCGCACAAGCGGUGGAGCAUGUGGUUUAAUUCGACGCAACGCGAAGAACCUUACCUGGCCUUGACAUCCAGCGAACUUUCCAGAGAUGGAUUGGUGCCUUCGGGAACGCUGAGACAGGUGCUGCAUGGCCGUCGUCAGCUCGUGUCGUGAGAUGUUGGGUUAAGUCCCGUAACGAGCGCAACCCCUAUCCCUAGUUGCCAGCGAUUCGGUCGGGAACUCUAGGGAGACUGCCGGUGACAAACCGGAGGAAGGUGGGGAUGACGUCAGGUCAUCAUGGCCCUUACGGCCAGGGCUACACACGUGCUACAAUGGCGCGCACAGAGGGUUGCGAACCCGCGAGGGGGAGCUAAUCUCAGAAAACGCGUCGUAGUCCGGAUCGCAGUCUGCAACUCGACUGCGUGAAGUCGGAAUCGCUAGUAAUCGCGAAUCAGAAUGUCGCGGUGAAUACGUUCCCGGGCCUUGUACACACCGCCCGUCACACCAUGGGAGUGGAUUGCACCAGAAGUAGUUAGUCUAACCUUCGGGG
Molecule: ribosomal RNA, 1126 nt
Filed under: Marinobacter sp. H2.Z 66
Lineage: Bacteria; Pseudomonadati; Pseudomonadota; Gammaproteobacteria; Pseudomonadales; Marinobacteraceae
Description: bacterial SSU rRNA
Rfam family: Bacterial small subunit ribosomal RNA
Source: RNAcentral